AGAUAGGAUGGCUGAUUAAGGCUGGGAAUUGUAAAUUCUUAUAUGAGAAAUUUCUCUCUUAUU
This 63-nucleotide transfer RNA is filed under the name Euphyllura phillyreae. RNAcentral's name for it is "tRNA-Tyr". Lineage: Eukaryota; Metazoa; Arthropoda; Insecta; Hemiptera; Liviidae. The record is from RNAcentral.